GCCUGGCUGGCUCAGUUGGUAGAGCAUGUGACUCUUGAUCUCAGGGUCAUGGGUUCAAGCUCCAUGUUAGGCA
RNAcentral lists this transfer RNA (73 nucleotides) under Mustela putorius furo (domestic ferret). RNAcentral's name for it is "tRNA-Lys (CTT) (tRNA-Lys-CTT-6-1)". It matches the Rfam family "tRNA". From Rfam's summary of the family: Transfer RNA (tRNA) molecules are approximately 80 nucleotides in length. Their secondary structure includes four short double-helical elements and three loops (D, anti-codon, and T loops). Further hydrogen bonds mediate the characteristic L-shaped molecular structure. tRNAs have two regions of fundamental functional importance: the anti-codon, which is responsible for specific mRNA codon recognition, and the 3' end, to which the tRNAs corresponding amino acid is attached (by aminoacyl-tRNA synthetases). tRNAs cope with the degeneracy of the genetic code in two manners: having more than one tRNA (with a specific anti-codon) for a particular amino acid; and 'wobble' base-pairing, i.e. permitting non-standard base-pairing at the 3rd anti-codon position. RNAcentral also lists the same sequence under 1 other name. The record is from Rfam by way of RNAcentral. Lineage: Eukaryota; Metazoa; Chordata; Mammalia; Carnivora; Mustelidae.